UGGGGAAUUUUGGACAAUGGGGGCAACCCUGAUCCAGCCAUGCCGCGUGUGUGAAGAAGGCCUUCGGGUUGUAAAGCACUUUUAUCAGGAACGAAACACUGUCGGUUAAUACCCGGCGGGACUGACGGUACCUGAGGAAUAAGCCCCGGCUAACUACGUGCCAGCAGCCGCGGUAACACGUAGGGGGCGAGCGUUGUCCGGAUUUAUUGGGCGUAAAGAGCUCGUAGGCGGUUUGGCAAGUCAGGUGUGAAAGCUCGAGGCUCAACCUCGAGACGCCACUUGAGACUGCCAUGACUGGAGUUCGGUAGAGGAGUGCGGAAUUCCUGGUGUAGCGGUGAAAUGCGCAGAUAUCAGGAGGAACACCAACGGCGAAGGCAGCACUCUGGGCCGAUACUGACGCUGAGGAGCGAAAGCGUGGGGAGCAAA
This 426-nucleotide ribosomal RNA is filed under the name uncultured bacterium. RNAcentral's name for it is "bacterial SSU rRNA". It matches the Rfam family "Bacterial small subunit ribosomal RNA", at positions 355 to 772 of the family's 1533-position model. The record is from RNAcentral.